This 1390-nucleotide ribosomal RNA is filed under the name uncultured bacterium. RNAcentral's name for it is "bacterial SSU rRNA". It matches the Rfam family "Bacterial small subunit ribosomal RNA". The record is from RNAcentral.
AGAGUUUGAUCCUGGCUCAGGAUGAACGCUGGCGGCGUGCUUAACACAUGCAAGUCGAACGAAGAUACUGGAGAUGAGAGCUUCGGCAGGAUUUUCCUUUAUCUUAGUGGCGGACGGGUGAGUAACGUGUGGGCAACCUGCCCUGCACUGGGGAAUAAUCAUUGGAAACGAUGACUAAUACCGCAUACGGUUCCCGGGAGGCAUCUUCUGGGAAAGAAAGGAUUUAUUCGGUGCAGGAUGGGCCCGCAUCUGAUUAGCUAGUUGGUGGGAUAACAGCCUACCAAGGCGACGAUCAGUAGCCGACCUGAGAGGGUGACCGGCCACAUUGGGACUGAGACACGGCCCAAACUCCUACGGGAGGCAGCAGUGGGGAAUAUUGCACAAUGGGCGAAAGCCUGAUGCAGCAACGCCGCGUGAAGGAAGAAGGGUUUCGGCUCGUAAACUUCUAUCAACAGGGACGAAAUAAAUGACGGUACCUGAAUAAGAAGCCCCGGCUAACUACGUGCCAGCAGCCGCGGUAAUACGUAGGGGGCAAGCGUUAUCCGGAAUGAUUGGGCGUAAAGGGUGCGCAGGCGGUCCUGCAAGUCUGGAGUGAAACGCAUGAGCUCAACUCAUGCAUGGCUUUGGAAACUGGAGGACUGGAGAGCAGGAGAGGGCGGUGGAACUCCAUGUGUAGCGGUAAAAUGCGUAGAUAUAUGGAAGAACACCAGUGGCGAAGGCGGCCGCCUGGCCUGUUGCUGACGCUGAGGCACGAAAGCGUGGGGAGCAAAUAGGAUUAGAUACCCUAGUAGUCCACGCCGUAAACGAUGAGGACCAAGUGUUGGGGGUGAAACCUCAGUGCUGAAGUUAACGCAGUGAGUCCUCCGCCUGGGGAGUAUGCACGCAAGUGUGAAACUCAAAGGAAUUGACGGGGGCCCGCACAAGCGGUGGAGUAUGUGGUUUAAUUCGAAGCAACGCGAAGAACCUUACCAGGCCUUGACAUGGGAUGCGAAGAUGCAGAGAUGCAUCGGAGGUCAACAUCCACACAGGUGGUGCAUGGUUGUCGUCAGCUCGUGUCGUGAGAUGUUGGGUCAAGUCCCGCAACGAGCGCAACCCUUGUGGCAUGUUGCUAACAGGAAAAGCUGAGGACUCAUGCCAGACUGCCGGUGACAAACCGGAGGAAGGCGGGGAUGACGUCAAAUCAUCAUGCCCCUUAUGGCCUGGGCUACGCACGUACUACAAUGGCGGCUACAAAGAGCAGCGAGACAGGGAUGUCGAGCGAAUCUCAUAAAAGCCGUCCCAGUUCGGAUUGGAGGCUGCAACCCGCCUCCAUGAAGUUGGAAUCGCUAGUAAUCGCGGAUCAGCAUGCCGCGGUGAAUACGUUCCCGGGCCUUGUACACACCGCCCGUCA